RNAcentral lists this long non-coding RNA (289 nucleotides) under Setaria viridis. RNAcentral describes it as "long non-coding RNA (SVIR_LNC002546)". Lineage: Eukaryota; Viridiplantae; Streptophyta; Magnoliopsida; Poales; Poaceae. The record is from RNAcentral.
AGAAUCGGGGAUGGCUGGAGCGCACUUUGUGGCGCCCCGGUUGAUCCCAACCUGGAAGGCUUAAGCUGCUCGCGACGACAGUUAGGUAUGGUGAUCAGGCCACAGCACAAUGCAACACUGACAAGACUUGCAUUGCCCGACACAUGGCUUGAGCUAGUUUCAGCCAUUUGUCAGGUGUGAACUGGGCUAUACAUCGUGCAGUUCAGCAUGAUGCAGUCAUGCAGCUGCUGGAGAUAGAUCCAAGAGUAGGCAUUGUGCUUGUGCCAGUGCAUCCGUUGUACUACCAAGU